CCCCUCCGCGCGCAUGCCAACAGACCCCUCAUCCGCCGUGCGCCUGACGCCCACCCCGACACUACCCACCUCCAUCGUGCUCCGCUCCCCGUCCUUCGUCCCCUCGCCUGUCGCCUCAGCCUCCACGCGACGCGACCACGGCUCGCCUUCAAAAUUCAAAUCCUCGCCGCUAGACGCGCCCACUGCCAUCCAGCCUCUGGGGUCUGGCUCACUGCCCGGCCGUCAGGCCACCUGGCACUGGCCACGCCCAGUCGGUGCGGAAGAGGAGGCCGCGGACCUGGCCGAGCUCCCUUGUGAGGUGGUCCCGGGGCGCGCGGGCCUCACGGUGGCCCAUGGACGCCGGGCGGAAGUCACGCCGAGCGGAAGUCACGCUGAGCCAUCCAUGCCUACCCUGGCUUCUUCCCUGCCUACGCGGAAGUUGGAGCUGAGUCUUGAGUGCCCAUGAAGCUCAUAUCGACAUGUUGGCCUUGUUGGGUAGCAGGUUGGAGCAGGUUACUCCGUUACUGCCGAUGUGCAUUCACAGUAUGAAAAUGAGAUCCAGGAAUUGAUGGAUGUGAUUUCUGUUGAAUAAGAGGAGAAAAAUGACAUUCACAGGAAGCUUCAGAAUGUGGAAAAUGAGUGUAAAUGCAAGCUGGAUUGAUGAGUUGAAAAGGAAGACGAGUUUCUUCAAACAGAAAACGUCAUGAACCAAUUCUAAUAGGAAAACAGAAACAAGAUUUGUAUCCUCAACAUGCUUAUUAAGUAGCGUUCCAUGGGCUUGUCUUUCAGUUCUGAAAAGGGAGCAGAAGAUAUGAACCAUGACCCCCUUAUCUAAUCUUCAGAAACUGCAACUGUUUCCCUUACGGCGUAGCUUUAUCUCAUACUGCCGGAUUUAGAAAAAUCCACUGCUCCAAAUUCCAAAAAUGACAUAUCACUGCCAGUUGCAUUAGAACCAACUGUGCUCUAAAUAUGUAAUAUAGUCAUUUCAGUUUGUUUCUGAUCGCAAUCUUCCUGCAUACUUGAGACAAAAGAAGCUUGUUUCUGAACCUUUUUGAGUCAUGCAAUGUUGUCAGGAUAACCUGUCCAAAAAUCAUUCCUGGUCAUGAACUUCCACUAAUUAGUAGUAAGUAGUUUAUUCUAUAAUUAUAUUGGAGCCUAAAAUGCAUUAGCUUGUCCAAAAACCAUCACUUUAUCUACUCUUGAUCAGUUUUGAUAAUUUGUUCUUUGGAUCUAGAACACAGUAGAGGUAUGCCUGAAAAUGCAUUAGCUUGUAGUCAACUGUGCUAACGAAAGCAUAGCAGAUCAUAGAUAGUGUUUAAAAUUUAAAUAAUGUACUUCGCUUAUUUUUGCUGCUUUUAUAGCCUUGAAGACUUUGAAUAAAAAAACAUAGUUCAGGUACAUAAUAAAAAAGAGCUUCCUGCAUACUUGACACAAAAAGAUUCCAUCCCGCCCACCCUUUAAUUCGGUCUUCAGAGAGUUUGAAUAAAAAAAUGGAAAACAAGAGCUUCAGGUAACUCCUUUGUACAAAGGAGCUUCUCUUCAAUAGCAUCAAGUUAAUUGUUAGUUAAGAAAACAUAUCAAGUAUCUUUUGUGGAGGGCAGUUAUGGACUGAGACAUCUCAUCUCACUUGUAGAGUUAAGUAAACUAAAAUAGCAUCAAGUUAAUUGUUAGUUUACACAAUAUUUUGAAAUGCGCCCAGCAACAUGCAUUUUAGUACGUGUUUAUGCCAUGUGAUGCAUGUUCAACUGCAUUAUCUUCAUUUUCAUCCCUUCUACAAAGUUUCCAACAUCUGAACCAUCUGUUACUUCUCAGCAGGUUGCAGAUGUAGGCCAUUCCUGAAGAAUGAUGGUCAGUUGCUGCUACGUCUAAUCAUUGGGUUCCGUAUUACUACAUACACGGAGAAAACAGAUUUUCCACAUAUAUUCUUUGUUUUGUUCUACAAACAAAGUUAAGUGCUUCGACAACAUAUUCCUACCUUCUAGCUCUCUCUGAAGCAAAUUUAUUUCCUUUCUUUUGGGGGGAGAAGAUCUCUUCAAACAUGUGAGGAUGUUUCUGCUGGGCAAGAAAAUGCUUUAGAUGUUUCUAUUGGGUAGAGAGAAAAAUGGUGCUGGAUCGAUUUAAAUACAGUACAUGUUCUAUGCUGCCAUAGCUAAAACAGCGUUCGUUGUUUAGAAUCCUAGGUAUCUUAAACUGUCUUGUCAUUGCUAUUAGUAUUUUCCAAUGCCCAUAUUGAUGUAUUUAUCCUAAUUUUCGUCUCAUGAUGAUCUCCAGGGCCGGUCCUGGAGGGGGGCAAGUGGAGCGGCCGCACCGGGCCCCCGAUUUUAGAAGGGCCCCCAAGUAGUGUACAUGUAUAUAGGUUUUAUAUGUUGGGUCCGGCCUGUUAAAGUUACAAUAGACCUAUUUUUUAAUUGUCUAACUAACUAAAAUUGCAUCUGUAACUCCAGACAUUCAAGAGUAUAUUUGGGUUUUUAUUGAGCUCGACAACAUUGAAGACGUUAAAUGAUACUGAACUAGAAGCAUGUUGCAGUGAAUUCGCAAAAACAUUCUCUUCACAAGCCAGUUCUGACAUUGAGCUUUUCAAAGUUAAAAUUGUAGAAGAACUAUUCAAGAUGGAUCACGAGAGAACACCCAAGCCUAAUAUGACAUGAAGUCACACACAGCGCAACUCUCCGAGUACCACCUCGAUCGUUGGAUGAGGACGAGCAACGAAGCAAGCUAUAAAAGGGGCAGGUUCAACAUCAUUGGCGCAUGGAGCCGAACGCCAUAACAGACCCCUAGAGGAACUAAUCCCAUCUUUGUAUCCUAGGUCAGCACCAUGGCACACGACAUCGAAAUUGCACAUCUCGGCGCCAUAACCUAUCCUCAGAUGAAAUAAUUCCAUAUUUGGACCCUCAUGGUCAGUGUUA
Zea mays is the source of this 2885-nucleotide long non-coding RNA. RefSeq lists it as uncharacterized. The transcript has 5 exons. The record is from RefSeq and is a predicted model, not a curated record. NCBI's taxonomy places the organism in Eukaryota, Viridiplantae, Streptophyta, Magnoliopsida, Poales, Poaceae.